Molecule: ribosomal RNA, 368 nt
Filed under: uncultured organism
Description: bacterial SSU rRNA
Rfam family: Bacterial small subunit ribosomal RNA
Source: RNAcentral
CGGAGGGUGCAAGCGUUAUCCGGAUUCACUGGGUUUAAAGGGUGCGUAGGCGGGUAUAUAAGUCAGUGGUGAAAGCUCCGGGCUUAACUUGGAAACUGCCAUUGAUACUGUAUAUCUUGAAUGUCGUUGAGGUUAGCGGAAUGUUGCAUGUAGCGGUGAAAUGCUUAGAUAUGUUACAGAACACCAAUUGUGAAGACAGCUAACUAAGCGAUGAUUGACGCUGAGGCACGAAAGCGUGGGGAGCAAACAGGAUUAGAUACCCUGGUAGUCCACGCCCUAAACGAUGAUUACUCGAUGUUGGCGAUACACUGUCAGCGUCUUAGCGAAAGCGUUAAGUAAUCCACCUGGGGAGUACGCUCGCAAGAGUG